This is a non-coding RNA of Nannospalax galili (Upper Galilee mountains blind mole rat), 614 nucleotides long. The record is from the annotation of a RefSeq genome assembly. Lineage: Eukaryota; Metazoa; Chordata; Mammalia; Rodentia; Spalacidae.
UUGGGGUCAAUAGAAAAAAAGAAAAAGAAAAUGGACUUGCUUCUGUAGAGAAGGGGUGUGGCAUGCUAAUGGUGCCGCUCAAGCAUUUGUUGAAGUCUGUGACAUCACUAUGUCACUGAAAGUCCAAGUUCUGGUUUCCCCUAACAGGGCUGAAUGAUAUGAGACCUUGCCGCGAUCCCGAGAUGCGCAUCAAGCUCUAUGUGGCCUUCAGUCUCCUGUGGGCAGAGCACAUGGAGGCUGCAGUCACCCAAAGGCCAAGAAAGAAGGUCACAGAAACAGGAAAAAAGGUGACUUUGGAUUGUCACCAGACUUACAACCAUGACAACAUGUUCUGGUAUCGGCAGGACCCAGGGCACGGGCUGAGGCUGAUCCAUUACUCAUAUGGUACUGACAAUAUUGAAAAGGGAGACAUCCCCGAUGGGUACAGCGCUUCCAGAUCGAGUAAAAAGGAGUUCUCUCUCAUACUGGAGUCGGCCAGCCUCUCCCAGACAUCUGUGUACUUCUGUGCCAGCAGUGAUGCCACAGUGCUGCACAGCUGCCUCCUGUCUGCACAUAAAGUCGAUAUAGGAAGCCUGAGAUUGCCUGUGUGGUCCAGGACGCCCCUGCCUCUGUAG